AUGAAAAAAGAAAAAAGGACGACCGGACAGCCUAGUCUUGCCGUUGGUGUAGUGUCAACACGUAGAGUGGAGCCUCUGUUUCCCGCACGUGGGAGGGAGGCUUCGCCGGCCCAUCACCGCUGCCCACGCAAGGCACCUUCUUCACUUGAGCGUUCCUUGGAAUUUCCUGGAGAAGAGCUGCUCCAGCCCCCGCCCCCGCCCCCACCCCCCGCCCCGGGUUUCGGCCGAAUCGAUCCCAGGAAACGAAUCACUGCCUACCACACCAAUUCCCCCGCAGAUCCUCCGCGAUUGAUGAGUAUUCCUCCCCCACUCUCUUGGUGGAGCGACUUGGAUUUGGAUGCGAGGGAGCUCCCUUCUCUCCGAUCUCCCCGCCCCCCGUAA
This 381-nucleotide ribosomal RNA is filed under the name Triticum aestivum (bread wheat). RNAcentral's name for it is "partial small subunit ribosomal RNA". Lineage: Eukaryota; Viridiplantae; Streptophyta; Magnoliopsida; Poales; Poaceae. The record is from RNAcentral.